Molecule: long non-coding RNA, 6288 nt
Organism: Oncorhynchus tshawytscha (Chinook salmon)
Lineage: Eukaryota; Metazoa; Chordata; Actinopteri; Salmoniformes; Salmonidae
Source: Ensembl
GAAACCGACCGACCGACGGGUGGGUCAUUUGGAAACCGACCGACCGACGGGUGGGUCAUUUGGAAACCGACCGACCGACGGGUGGGUCAUUUGGAAACCGACCACCGACGGGUGGGUCAUUUGGAAACCGACCGACCGACGGGUGGGUCAUUUAGAAACCGACCCACCGACAGACGGUGGGUCAUUUAGAAACCGCCCGACAGACGGUGGGUCAUUUAGAAACCGACAGACGGUGGGUCAUUUAGAAACCGACCGACAGACGGUGGGUCAUUUAGAAACCGACCGACCGACGGGUGGGUCAAUUAGAAACCGACCGAUGGGUGGGUCAUUUAGAAUAUGACCGACAGACGGUGGGUCAUUUAGAAACCGACCGACCGAUGGGUGGGUCAUUUAGAAACUGACUGACCGAUGGGUGGGUCAUUUAGAAACUGACCGACCGAUGGGUGGGUCAUUUAGAAACUGACCGACCGACGGGUGGGUCAUUUAGAAACUGACCGACCGACGGGUGGGUCAUUUGGAAACCGACCGACCGACGGGUGGGUCAUUUGGAAACCGACCGACCGACGGGUGGGUCAUUUGAAACCGACCGACCGGUGGGUCAUUUAGAAACCGACCGACAGACGGUGGGUCAUUUAGAAACCGACCGACCGACGGGUGGGUCAUUUAGAAACCGACCGACAGACGGGUGGGUCAUUUAGAAACCGACCGACCGACGGGUGGGUCAUUUAGAAAACCGACAGACGGGUGGGUCAUUUAGAGACCGACCGACGGACGGGUGGGUCAUUUAGAAACCGACCGACAGAUGGGUGGGUCAUUUAGAAACCUGACUGACAGACGGUGGGUCAUUUAGAAACCGACCGACCGACGGGUGGGUCAAUUAGAAACUGACCGACCGAUGGGUGGGUCAUUUAGAAACUGACUGACCGACGGGUGGGUCAUUUAGAAACCGACCCACCGACGGGUGGGUCAUUUGGAAACCGACCCACCGACGGGUGGGUCAUUUAGAAACCGACCGACGGGUGGGUCAUUUGGAAACCGACCGACGGACGGACGGGUGGGUCAUUUGGAAACCGACCGACGGACGGACGGGUGGGUCAUUUGGAAACCGACCGACGGACGGGUGGGUCAUUUAGAAACCGACCGACAGACGGUGGGUCAUUUAGAAACCGACCGACGGGCUGGUCAUUUAGAAACCGACCGACCGACGGGUCGGUCAUUUAGAAACCGACUGAGCUAAUUAAACUGUUAAGCUAUUAAGCCGCUCCCCCUGUUCCCAGGAUGUACAUUGCUCCAGGAUGUUAAACUCUUCCUUUGUGACAUUUCUGAAGGCGACAGCUUUUGUUUGUUGUUUUCUUCUAAUCAGCCCUCGAAGUACCGCACAGCCCAGUUUGUAUUCUUAAUGGUGUUUUGCUUUGUUGGAGAUUUUCUCUUCGUCAUUCAAUACAUUAUUUUUCACAUCUGCAUGCCUCGGUAGUAUUUCCUGGGUAGUAUAUUAUUUUCUCCUCCCCAUUCAUCCAUAUUCAUGCUGCCGAAAAGAGCAAAAUAAAUGUUCCACUCACACGUUUUAGUUUUCGCAAAACAAAGUAUUGAUUUAGCUGUUGCUAUGACAACCAUCUGAAUUUGCUGUCGGUGAUGGUCGCACCCAUUCGCAAUUAUAUGGGACAGUUCAAUAUCGAAAAGGUCAGAGAGACAGACAACGAGGUGCAUACUAAUCUCUGCUGUUGGAAACCAAGUGUUAGUCUAAAAGAAAUGUGAGAUAAUGUCUAGAUGCUUUUCUAUAGUGGAGCUCAAGUUUAUACAUUGCCCGGCUGGGCUGAUGAGACAGUGGAUUGCAGCAGUCAGAUGGAACAGAGUAAAUAGGCAUUUUAACAUCUCAGAUUUAGCCGGUGGCAACUUGUGGAAUAGACACCGGCUGGAAUGCGGUUUCACCCAAUCAGCAUUCAGGAUUAGACUCACCAGUAGUAUUAAAAUAUAAUAUUAUCUCCAGUUCUCCUUCUCCUCGUUGCAAGCACCAUGCUCUACCAACUGAGCUCCAGAGGAACUCUAACCUGAUCUGUUUCCUCUCUCUCUCUCUCUCUCUCUCGCUCUCUCGCUCUCUCUCUCUCGCGCUCGCUCUCUCUCACUCUCUCUCUCUUGCGCGCUCUCGCUCUCUCUCUCUUUCUCUCCCUUUCUUUCUCUGAGUUUGUAUCUUAGUCACUUUAAAUCACUGUCACCACCUAAUGCCCCCCACUUCCCAACCGAUCCAGGACCAGCGUGUACCCCACAACAACGGUGUCACUACUGACGGCGGCAACAAUGAUGAUAACAACAUCAUCAAUAAUGGCAGCAACAACAUCAAUGGCAGCAGCAGCAUCAAUAAUGACAGCAACAACAACAGCAUCAAUAAUGACAACAACAGCAUCAAUACUGACAGCAACAACAACGGAUCAUAUUUACAUAAGUAUUCAGACCAUUUACUCAGUACUUUGUUGAAGCACCUUUGGCAACUAUUACAGCCUCAAUAUUUUCCUCAAUUAUCAGGUCUCUCCAGAGUUGUUUGGUCAGGUUCAAGUCCGGGCUCUGGCUGGACCACUCAAGGACAGUGAGACUUGUCCCGAAGCCACUCCUGCGUUGUCUUGGCUGUGUGCUUAGCAUUGUUGUCCUGUUGGAAGGUGAACCUUCUCCCCAGUCUGAGGUCCUGAGGGAUCUGAAGUAAGUUUUCAUCAAGGAUCUCUCUGUACUUUGCUCCUUUCAUCUUUGCCUCGGUCCUGACUAGUCUCCCAGUCACUACCUCUGAAAAACAUCCCCACAGCGUGAUGCUGCCUCCACGCUUCACAAUAGGGCUGGUCCCAGGUUUCCUAUAGAUGUUGACUCUUGGCAUUCAGACCAAAGAGUUCAAUGUUGGUUUCAUCAGACAAGAGAAACGUGGUCUGAGAGUUCUGUGGAGAGCUCUGUCAGAGCUCCAUCGGGUUUUUGGUCACCUCCCUGACCAAGGAGCUUCUCCACCGAUUGCUCAGUUUGGCCGGGCGGCCAGAUCUAGGAAGAGUCUUGGUGGUACAAAACUGUGUUCUUGGCAUCCUUCGAUGCUGCAGAAAUGUUUUGGUACCUUCCCCAGAUCUGUGCCUCGACACAAUCCUGUCUCGGAGCUCUACGGACAAUUCCUUCGACCUCAUGGCUUGGUUUUUGCUCUAACAUGCACUGUCAACUGUGGGACCUUAUAUAGACUGGUGUCUGGUAAUUUACCACAGAUGGACUCCAAGUUGUAGAAACAUCUCAAGGAUGAUCAAUGGAAACAGGAUGCACCUGAGGUCAAUAUCAAGUCUCAUAGGAAAGGGUCUGAAUACUUAUGUGAAUAAGGUCUUUCAGUUAUAUAUAUAUAUAUAUAUAUACACACACACACACACACACACAGUGGGGCAAAAAAGUAUUUAGUCAGCCACCAAUUGUGCAAGUUCUCUCACUUAAAAAGAGAGUGGAGGACAGAGGAGCCUCUUAAAGAAGAAGUUACAGGUCUGUGAGAGCCAGAAAUCUUGCUUGUUUGUAGGUGACCAAAUACUUAUUUUCCACCAUAAUUUGCAAAUAAAUUCAUUAAAAAUCCUACAAUGUAAUUUUCUGGAUUUUUUUUCCCUCAUUUUGUCUGUCAUAGUUGAAGUGUACCUAUGAUGAAAAUUACAGGCCUCUCUCAUCUUUCUUGUUUACACUUCAUCAUUACGGGGUAUUUGUGUGUAGAUUGCUGAGGAUAUAUAUAUUUUUAAAUCCAUUUUAUAAUGAGGCCGUUAUGUAACAAAAUGUGGAAAAAGUCAAGGGGUCUGAAUACUUCCCGAACAAGGGGGUGUCUGUGUGUCUGUGUCAUCUGUGUGUGUGUGUGUGUGUGUACAUAUAUGAUUACCUUAAGACUCUUGGUGGGUGGAAGGAAGAUCGUUUGUUAUAGGAGGAUGGGUGUUGUAGAAACAGCCCACAUUUCAAACCAGGGACGGGUUUGGAUACAGAAGGACAGGAUUUUAACUUUUUCAUUUGAAACACAAAAAUGUUGUACUAUUUAUUAAAAAUAAAAUUACGUCAGGAAAUGUUUGGUUUUUGUUCAAAAUGUAAAUGUCAACUUUAGGUCAAUUGGCAUUUCUUAUUUUGCUACACUGGUGUGUGGGUUGUUUGUAUGUGUAGCACAAUAUAUUGCUUUCUGCAUGGGAUACUAUUGUGAGAGAAUGACUACACUCCUGCCCAUGCUUUAAAUGUCAAUAGUGACCUUAAGAACAGUGUAGUUUUUUUAUUGUUGGAGACAGGAAUCUGAUCACCAACCCCCCCUCUGUACAUGAUGAAGGGGAUUGGAUAAAGUUGGGGUCAAUUCGAAUUGAAGGCAGGAAGAGAUUUGAUUUAUUUUAUUUUUUUAAUUUAAGAAAUCUUUUGAAAUUAUCAGCUUCUACUUUUCAGUUCAUUCAAAAAUAUGUACCUUUUAUUUUUUUUUAUUUUUUAGGAAUUUCAGUUUCUUCCAUCCUAUGGAAUUGAGCCCUGCUCUAGAUACUGUUCUAGGAUCAGUUGUGUAUUUCUCCCAUCCAUGGUUAAGGCUAAGCUUUGCAGAGAAUAAGCUGAUCCUAGCUCUGGGCAACAUGGGAAACUAGUUUCACUUGGAGCUUCUAGAGGUCGAUCAGGACAAGGUCAUCGGGUCAGGGCUCAAAGGUCAGACAGGCCCUGGUUGUAUGUACACUGCCCAGCGACCUUUCACCUCUCCUCCAGAGACUAGGUGUGCUUCCCAAAUGGCACCAUAUUCCCUAUAUAGUGCACUAGCCCACAUAGGGCUCUGGUCUAAAGUAGUGCACUAUAAAUAGGAAAUAGGGUGCCAUAGGGCUCUGGUCUAAAGUAUUUUUAUCAGCCCUCUGAUUACAAUUGAGAGCAAAACGUGCUGCUCUGUUGUCAGCCAGCUGCAGCUUAACUAGGUGUUUCCUUGCAGCACUGGACCACAAGACUGGUCAAUAAUCAAGAUGAGAUAAAUCUAGAGCCUGCAGGACUUGCUUUGAGGAGUGUGGUGUAGAAAAAAGCAGAGCAUCUCUUUAUUACGUCUACCUCUCCCCGUCUUUGAAACCAUUGAAUCUACAGUGGCAUGUGAAAGUAUUCACCCCCCUUGGUAUUUUUCCUAUUUUGUUGCCUUACAACCUGAAAUUAAAAUAUAUUUUGGGGGGGGUUUGUAUCAUUUGAUUUACACUUUGAAGAUGCAAAAUAUGUUUUAUAAUGAAACAAACAAAAAACAUUACAAAAACAGAACCCCACCUCCCCCCCAAAAGUCAAUACUUUGUAGAGCCACCUUUUGCAGAAAUUACAGCUGCAAGUGUCUUGGGGUAUGUGUCCAUCUAGCCAAUGGGAUUAGGAUAUACCUCUGUGCAACUGGUGAUUGAAAAUAGGCACCUGGUAACCUAAAAAUUAAAUGGUAUUUUAGCCCAUUCUUCAAGGCAAAACUGCUCCAGCUCCUUCAAGUUGGAUGGGUUCCGCUGGUGUACAGCAAUCUUUAAGUCAUACCACAGAUUCUCAAUUGGAUUGAGGUCUGGGCUUUGACGAGACAUUGAAAUGUUUCCCCUUAAACCACUCAAGUGUUGCUUUAGCAGGAUGCUUAGGGUCAUUGUCCUGCUGGAAGGUGAACCUUCAUCCCAGUCUCAAAUCUCUGGAAGACUGAAACAGGUUUUCCCAAGAAUUUCCCUGUAUGCAUCAUGUUGUGGGGGUGCUUUGCUGCAGGAGGGACUGGUGCACUUCAUAAAAUAGAUGGCGUCAUGAGGGAGGAAAAUGAUGUGGAUAUAUUGACGCAACAUCUCAAGACAUCAGUCAGGAAGUUAAAGCUUGGUCGCAAAUGAGUCUUCCAAAUGGACAAUGUCCCCAAGCAUACUUCCAAAGUUGUGGCAAAAUGGCUUAAGGACAAAGUCAAGGUAUUGGAGUGGCCAUCACAAAGCCCUGACCUCAAUCCUAUAGAACAUUUGUGGGCAGAACUGAUAAACCGUGUGCGAGCAAGGAGGCCUACAAACCUGACUCCGUUACACCAGUUCUGUCAGGAGGAAUGGGCCAGAAUUCACCCAACUUAUUGUGGGAAGCUUGUGGAAGGCUACCCGAAACGUUUGACCCAAGUUAAACAAUUUAAAGGCAAUGCUACCAAAUACUAAUUGAGUAUAUGUAAACUUCUGACCCACUGGGAAUGUGAUGAAAGAAAUAAAAGCUGAAAUAAAUCAUUUGACUAUUAUUCUGACAUUUCACAUUCUUCAAAUAAAGUGGUGAUCCUAACUGACCUAAAACCAGUGAAUUUAGAAACAAGAAUUUCCCUGUAUGUCGCAC